GAUGAACGCUGGCGGCGUGCCUAAUACAUGCAAGUCGAGCGAACGGACGAGAAGCUUGCUUCUCUGAUGUUAGCGGCGGACGGGUGAGUAACACGUGGAUAACCUACCUAUAAGACUGGGAUAACUUCGGGAAACCGGAGCUAAUACCGGAUAAUAUUUUGAACCGCAUGGUUCAACAGUGAAAGACGGUCUUGCUGUCACUUAUAGCUGGAUCCGCGCUGCAUUAGUUAGUUGGUAAGGUAACGGCUUACCAAGGCAACGAUGCAUAGCCGACCUGAGAGGGUGAUCGGCCACACUGGAACUGAGACACGGUCCAGACUCCUACGGGAGGCAGCAGUAGGGAAUCUUCCGCAAUGGGCGAAAGCCUGACGGAGCAACGCCGCGUGAGUGAUGAAGGUCUUCGGAUCGUAAAACUCUGUUAUUAGGGAAGAACAUAUGUGUAAGUAACUGUGCACAUCUUGACGGUACCUAAUCAGAAAGCCACGGCUAACUACGUG
RNAcentral lists this ribosomal RNA (497 nucleotides) under uncultured bacterium. Its description in RNAcentral is "partial 16S ribosomal RNA". It matches the Rfam family "Bacterial small subunit ribosomal RNA", at positions 28 to 507 of the family's 1533-position model. The record is from RNAcentral.